GAUGAACGCUGGCGGCGUGCCUAAUACAUGCAAGUCGAGCGAACAGAUAAGGAGCUUGCUCCUUUGACGUUAGCGGCGGACGGGUGAGUAACACGUGGGUAACCUACCUAUAAGACUGGAAUAACUCCGGGAAACCGGGGCUAAUGCCGGAUAACAUUUAGAACCGCAUGAUUCUAAAGUGAAAGAUGGUUUUACUAUCACUUAUAGAUGGACCCGCGCCGUAUUAGCUAGUUGGUAAGGUAACGGCUUACCAAGGCAACGAUACGUAGCCGACCUGAGAGGGUGAUCGGCCACACUGGAACUGAGACACGGUCCAGACUCCUACGGGAGGCAGCAGUAGGGAAUCUUCCGCAAUGGGCGAAAGCCUGACGGAGCAACGCCGCGUGAGUGAUGAAGGUCUUCGGAUCGUAAAACUCUGUUAUUAGGGAAGAACAAAUGUGUAAGUAACUGUGCACGUCUUGACGGUACCUAAUCAGAAAGCCACGGCUAACUACGUG
This 497-nucleotide ribosomal RNA is filed under the name uncultured bacterium. RNAcentral's name for it is "partial 16S ribosomal RNA". It matches the Rfam family "Bacterial small subunit ribosomal RNA", at positions 28 to 507 of the family's 1533-position model. The record is from RNAcentral.